Molecule: ribosomal RNA, 250 nt
Filed under: uncultured bacterium
Lineage: Bacteria
Description: partial 16S ribosomal RNA
Rfam family: Bacterial small subunit ribosomal RNA
Source: RNAcentral
UACGGAGGGGGUUAGCGUUGUUCGGAAUUACUGGGCGUAAAGCGUACGUAGGCGGAUUAAUAAGUUAGAGGUGAAAUCCCAGGGCUCAACCCUGGAACUGCCUUUAAAACUGUUAGUCUUGAGAUCGAGAGAGGUGAGUGGAAUUCCAAGUGUAGAGGUGAAAUUCGUAGAUAUUUGGAGGAACACCAGUGGCGAAGGCGGCUCACUGGCUCGAUACUGACGCUGAGGUACGAAAGCGUGGGGAGCGAAC